CCGUGACGACGCAACGCCGCGUGGAGGAUGAAGGUCUUCGGAUUGUAAACUCCUGUUGCCCGAGACGAAUGGCUUCAACCUAAUACGUUGGAGUGUGACGGUACCGGGUGAGGAAGCCCCGGCUAACUCUGUGCCAGCAGCCGCGGUAAUACAGAGGGGGCAAGCGUUGUUCGGAAUUACUGGGCGUAAAGGGCGCGUAGGCGGCCUGCUAAGUCGAACGUGAAAUCCCUGGGCUCAACCCAGGAACUGCGUCCGAUACUGGUUGGCUUGAAUCCGGGAGAGGGAUGUGGAAUUCCAGGUGUAGCGGUGAAAUGCGUAGAUAUCUGGAGGAACACCGGUGGCGAAGGCGACAUCCUGGACCGGUAUUGACGCUGAGGCGCGAAAGCCAGGGGAGCAAACGGGAUUAGAUACCCCGGUAGUCCUGGCCCUAAACGAUGAAUGCUUGGUGUGGUGGGUAUCGAUCCCUACCGUGCCGAAGCUAACGCAUUAAGCAUUCCGCCUGGGGAGUACGGUCGCAAGGCUG
RNAcentral lists this ribosomal RNA (523 nucleotides) under uncultured Acidobacteriota bacterium. Its description in RNAcentral is "bacterial SSU rRNA". It matches the Rfam family "Bacterial small subunit ribosomal RNA", at positions 381 to 896 of the family's 1533-position model. Lineage: Bacteria; Pseudomonadati; Acidobacteriota. The record is from RNAcentral.